Meriones unguiculatus (Mongolian gerbil) is the source of this 3538-nucleotide long non-coding RNA. RefSeq lists it as uncharacterized. The record is from RefSeq and is a predicted model, not a curated record. The transcript is spliced from 2 exons. Lineage: Eukaryota; Metazoa; Chordata; Mammalia; Rodentia; Muridae.
ACUUAUUUAUUUACUUAUUGACACAAGAUUUUACCACAUAUGUAGCCCAGGCUUGUCUCUGACUUGAGAUCCCACUGCUUCAGGCUUGAAUUGCUGAGAUUACAGGUGUUUGCAAUCACACACCACCAUCAGGGACAGUUCUCCAUGAAUAUCCUUGCUUCUGAGAUGGCUCCAGUUCCAAGAGAUUCUCUGAUAAUAUAUUUUUUUGAAAAGUCAAAUGUCGCAAUGCUAUCAGAAUACUGGCUCAAUAGUUUAUUUUAUAAUCUUCUAUUGAACACCGGCAAUAUCUAAAUUAGUGACGAGGGUUUAAGAAUUGCAAGAGGAGCAAGGCAUGUCCACUGUCUUCAAAGACUUUAUUGUCCAGUGGGGGAAGCAGAAACACACAUGCUAUAGAAUACGCACUCAAGCACCUAUACAGCUGAGGGCACUGACAAACCUUCAGCAGUGAUAAACGGUGCUGGUAGAGAAUGUCAGGAACCAGCUGAAGGUUCCCAUUUGAGCAAGCUGAGGCAAGAGCUCAUGAUGAAAGGGAGAAAUUAUGAGAACAGGUGAUAUUUGUGGAGAAAAGAAUUGCAUGGAUCAAUGGAUCAUCCAGGAAGUGGUAAGUAGCUCUCGUUCUGAAUGGUGGUGUGUGUAGAAAGAAGUUUUAAAAAAAGAUUUCAUAUAGAUCAGGAAUAUGCAUUUCUCCAUCUUGUGCCUUUACUAACUUUUCCUUCUACGUUAGUACCCCGCCCCCACCCCGACUCCCUAACAGUGUUCCAGGCAGUCAUGAUGAAUCAGUUGAGACUGGCACUGGAGGUGACUCAUUGUCACUCCUGGCUUGAGUCUGCUUUCUCACGCUUUGUUGUUGUUGUUUUCCUUCUCCUUCUGCCAAGGUCCCAUGAGCCUUAGGCUGGCCUUGAACUCCAUAAGCAGCUGGAGAUGAUCUUGAACUCCUAAUCACUGUGCUUCCAACUCCCAACAGCUGAGAUUGCAGGCAUGCAGCACCACAUCUGGUUUAUGCUUUGCUUCCACUUGAACCCAGGGCUUUAUGCCUGCCAGGCAUGCACACAUAAUUCUCUUCCUUCGUUCCUUUCUCCCCCCAUGCACUCUCCCCGCCCCCAACAAGAUCUCACUGUGUGGCCCUGGCUGGCAUGGAACUUGAUAUGUAGACCAGGUUGGCUUUGUAUUCAUGGAGGCCCACUUGCUUCAGCUUCCCAGUGCUUGGCUUAAAGGCUUGUGCCACCAUACUUGGAAUCAUCUUAUUUGAUGGUCUUGAAGAACUUUUGAGUCAAUGACAUAACUCAGCAUGUGGCUUUGUGAGGUAGCCCACGUUUCUGGGAAAGGUGAAAGCCUGAAACAAGACAAUGUCAACCAUGCAGACCAGGGAUGUGUGGGGCACAUUGGACCAAUCAGGUAAUAAGGUAGUUGGCAAUGCAGAGCCAGAAAAAAAGACUUGGCUAUGGGAAGGUCUUCUCACUAAAGACACUGAGUUAAUGUCUGUCAGCCUGGGUGCUGCUUUUUGUUAUUUAGGCACAUAGUCUCACUUGUAGCCCAGUUUGGCCUCUAGCUUGAAACCUUCUUGCUUCAGGCUCCAGAAUGCUGAGUUUACCAGCAUUUGCCACCAACCUGGCCAACAAGGAGAUUUUGACAAGAAUAUCCUUACUUCUGAGAUGGUUUCUGUUCCAAGAGAGUCUCUAUGAUAAUACUGUUUUUGAAAGGUCACAUGUCAGCACACCAUCAGCAUAUUGGGACCAAUACAAGGAACACAGGAUGAGGACUUUGACCUUUCCUUUUAUGAGGAACAGAUGAUGUACUUAGCUUUACAAAGCAGGCUGAAUUGAAGGGGUCCACGGACUUCCCCAGCGGAAACUUCACUUGUGAUUUAAAGAUAUAGACCCGGAGUUAAGAGUUACAGCAACUCAGAUAUGGCCACAUAGAGAAACCAAGAAAGAGUUGAGUCAUAAAUCCUGGGAGGGGAGCCAUGUACAAGAAGGAACAGAAAGGCAAUGUUUGACUUUGAGGGGUGCUGGUAUUCAAUAAACACCCAAGGAAGAGAAGCAAAGAAAGAGUCUAUUUCCUCCUUUAAAACGUUUUUAUAUUUUAUUUUAUGUAUAUGUGUGUUUUGUCUGUCUGUAUGUUUGUGUACUAUAUGGAAACCGAACCCUGGACCUCCAGAAGAUCAGGAGACAGGGUCUUAACAGCUAAGCCAUCUCUCCAGCUUCUUCCUCCUCAUUCCUGUAGCUCAAACUGAGUUUGAACUCACUAUGUAGCCAAAAAUGACCUUGUGCUACUGACUGCUGAUCCUUUUGCUUCUCCCUGAGAUUACAGGCUUUUUACCACCAUACUUGGCAAUAAUCCAAUUUUAUCAGUAUGGGCUUUCACAUUGGUCCUCCAUCUUGUCUGAUUAUUAUUAUUAUUAUUAUUAUUAUUAUUUUAAAUACAGACCAGUGCCUAACUUGGAUGGGACCUGUGUCUGAGAAGUCAAGGAAAUUGUUUUCUUCUACACAUCCAUGAAGGUUACACUUGUCAGCCUCGUGUCAGUUGGCCAUGAAUCAGUGAGAAGUGUUUUAUAUACAUAUCCAGGACACAUGCACACCAGUACUUGUGUACUGAAAACAAGAGGUUUUGUGAAACAAGAGCUACCUGAUUCUUCUGCAAUAAUGAUAUUUUCUAUUUUAUUUCAGUAAACAAAGAAAAUGCUAAUUGGGUUCCACUAAGUUGCUAUCACAACCACUGAUGUUUUUCAAAACUGCAGCUUGAAAAAGACUGCAUUAAAGGGCUGUUUUCUGACAGUCCACUCUCCCUCUGGUGGUUGGAAUUGUUCUGAAGAGACCAGAAGGCUGCAGUGUGAGCUUAACUUGAAGUACAGUGUGGGAGAGUUUAUCCCACUGCCUAGAUCUCUCUCUAGCGAGGAAGCACUUUUGGCUUUCGGAAGGAAUCUGUCUGGACCCAAUUAGCAGGGCUGCUAGUGAUGCGCCUAGAUAUAAAUGAUAGUAAUAAUACAGGUUGCUCCAUAUGAUAAGGCUCAAGAAAUUCUAGGUGUUGGAACAGAUGGGAUUUUCCAACUGGAGUCACUCGACCUAGAAAGCCUAUGCAAACAUCUCCAGAUCUGAAAAACUCUUAAAUCUGCAACACAUCUGGUCCUUAGCCUUCCAGGUAAGGCCACUCAACCUGGAGUGGGUAUUUAUUGAGUCUGGCACAUCAUAUACAUUAUUAGCACAAUCUUUAUUAACAAGCUCUAGGGGACAGUUUAAUUAUUACCUUCUUUUUACAGAUGAAAAAUACCAAAAGUAGGAGAGAAAACUCACCCAUGAUUGCUCAACCAGUAAAUGCUAAACUCAAAGCCAGUGAGCUGGUCAGGUGGUUUACAGAAUGAAGGCACUCAAUUGACAUUCCUGGGAAGGUGUUUUCAGCAGUCACAUGGUUCCAGAUGUGAGCUCACAGAUGCCUGCUCUUGCCACCGUGUCUACCACUUGCUGCCAUGUAGCUGCCAUGAUGGACUCUUAUGCCUCUAGAACCAAAUAAGCCCAAAUUAAACCUUUUCUUCUAUAAGUUG